Molecule: ribosomal RNA, 380 nt
Filed under: uncultured organism
Description: bacterial SSU rRNA
Rfam family: Bacterial small subunit ribosomal RNA
Source: RNAcentral
UGCCUAACACAUGCAAGUCGAACGGGAAAGCCCUUCGGGGUAAGUACAGCGGCGGACGGGUGAGCAACGCGUGAGAAUCUGCCCUUUAGUGAAGAAUACUCCCGAGAAAUCGGGCAUAAUACUGCAUAAGUCCCUGCGGGGAGAAAGAUGGCUUUAUGCUGUCGCUGAAGGAUGAGCUCGCGUACUAUUAGCUAGUUGGGAGGGUAAUGGCCUACCAAGGCGAUGAUGGUUAACCGGCCUGAGAGGGUGUUCGGUCACACUGGAACUGAGACACGGUCCAGACUCCUACGGGAGGCAGCAGUGAGGAAUAUUGCGCAAUGGGCGAAAGCCUGACGCAGCGACGCCGCGUGGAGGAUGAAGGUCUUUGGAUUGUAAACUUC